GCCAUGUCCAUGUCCAGGAUCUGAACUGGCAAAACUCCUGGCCGCCAAAGCCGAGCGCCCGAACUUAACCACUCAGUCACAGAGUCCAGCCCCUCAACAGAGUGUUUCAAGAUAUGCUUCAAGAUGACAAAUUAGAAAAAUGUCCCCAAAAAAGAAAGCUAACUGCACACACUCAUUCUCUCAUCUGCCAGGUAAUAAAACAUUUAGAUGACUAUUCUGGAUUGCCUGGAUGGCCUGAUGUAAUCAUAACACUCCUUAUAAGAUGGUCAAAGGAGGAGUCCAAUCAGAGGAGAAGGCAAUGGGAUGCUAGGAGCAGAAAAUGGAGCUUUGUGCUUUGAAGAUGGAGGCAGAGACCACAAGCAAAGGAACAUAGGAGGCCACUAGAAGCUGAAAAAGUCAAGGAAGCAGAUUCUCCUCUCAGAGCCUCCAGAAAAGAAUCAGCCCUGACAAGACCUUGGUGUUAGCUCAGUGAAACUGAUUUUGGACUUUGGAACUCCAGAGCUGGAUGGCUGGCAAGCUGAAGACCCAAGGAAGAGUCAACAUUGCAGUUCACAUCCAAAAGCUGGCUGCUGCAGAGUUCUCUCCAGUUUGAGGCAGGUCCCUUGGGCAAUCACUCCCUCUCUCUCCAUGUGGUUCAGCCAAGAGUGUCAAUCACAGCAUAUUCAUCAACACCCCACCCCCACCUCCGGCUUCCUGCAAAGGAUUAUGACUCAAGCUGGUCAACCAGAGUGUGCCCACAUUGGAUUAAGGGAUGUCAGGAAAGAUAUCUUCCCCCUAAACUAGGCAAACUCAGGAUGAGAAGUUGAGCUACUGGGGGCCAAAGAAAGCCGUUUGCCACAGGAGAAGAUAAAGCGUGAAAUAGGCAGAGCUAGAGAUGAUGAGGGAGACAAUGAACUGGUGGCAUCAUUUGGGCCUGUGUAAAUAACAGUCCUGAUACUUGUUCUAGCCCCGGACUUCCCAUAUGUGUGAACCAAUAAAUUACAUUUUUUGCUUA
This 994-nucleotide long non-coding RNA is filed under the name Equus asinus (donkey). Its description in RNAcentral is "lncRNA (ENSEASG00005037512.1)". Lineage: Eukaryota; Metazoa; Chordata; Mammalia; Perissodactyla; Equidae. The record is from RNAcentral.